RNAcentral lists this ribosomal RNA (467 nucleotides) under uncultured bacterium. Its description in RNAcentral is "partial 16S ribosomal RNA". It matches the Rfam family "Bacterial small subunit ribosomal RNA", at positions 29 to 507 of the family's 1533-position model. The record is from RNAcentral.
ACGAACGCUGGCGGCGUGCUUAACACAUGCAAGUCGAACGGAAAGGCCCUGCUUUUGUGGGGUGCUCGAGUGGCGAACGGGUGAGUAACACGUGAGUAACCUGCCCUUGACUUUGGGAUAACUUCAGGAAACUGGGGCUAAUACCGGAUAGGAGCUCCUGCUGCAUGGUGGGGGUUGGAAAGUUUCGGCGGUUGGGGAUGGACUCGCGGCUUAUCAGCUUGUUGGUGGGGUAGUGGCUUACCAAGGCUUUGGCGGGUAGCCGGCCUGAGAGGGUAAACGGCCACAUUGGGACUGAGAUACGGCCCAGACUCCUACGGGAGGCAGCAGUGGGGAAUAUUGCACAAUGGGCGGAAGCCUGAUGCAGCAACGCCGCGUGCGGGAUGACGGCCUUCGGGUUGUAAACCGCUUUCGCCUGUGACGAAGCGUGAGUGACGGUAAUGGGUAAAGAAGCACCGGCUAACUACGUG